This 375-nucleotide ribosomal RNA is filed under the name uncultured organism. Its description in RNAcentral is "partial 16S ribosomal RNA". It matches the Rfam family "Bacterial small subunit ribosomal RNA", at positions 527 to 896 of the family's 1533-position model. The record is from RNAcentral.
GUAGGUGGCAAGCGUUGUCCGGAAUUAUUGGGCGUAAAGCGCGCGCAGGCGGUCCUUUAAGUCUGAUGUGAAAGCCCACGGCUCAACCGUGGAGGGUCAUUGGAAACUGGGGGUCUUGAGUACAGAAGAGGAAAGCGGAAUUCCAAGUGUAGCGGUGAAAUGCGUAGAGAUUUGGAGGAACACCAGUGGCGGAGGCGGCUUUCUGGUCUGUAACUGACGCUGAGGCGCGAAAGCGUGGGGAGCAAACAGGGAUUAGAUACCCUGGUAGUCCACGCCGUAAACGAUGAGUGCUAAGUGUUAGGGGGUUUCCCGCCCCCUUAGUGCUGCAGCUAACGCAUUAAGCACUCCGCCUGGGGAGUACGGCCCGCAAGGCUG